CCUACGGGUGGCAGCAGUGAGGAAUAUUGGUCAAUGGACGAGAGUCUGAACCAGCCAAGUAGCGUGAAGGAUGACUGCCCUAUGGGUUGUAAACUUCUUUUAUAUGGGAAUAAAAUGUUCCACGUGUGGGAUUUUGUAUGUACCAUAUGAAUAAGGAUCGGCUAACUCCGUGCCAGCAGCCGCGGUAAUACGGAGGAUCCGAGCGUUAUCCGGAUUUAUUGGGUUUAAAGGGAGCGUAGGUGGAUUGUUAAGUCAGUUGUGAAAGUUUGCGGCUCAACCGUAAAAUUGCAGUUGAAACGGGCAGUCUUGAGUACAGUAGAGGUGGGCAGAAUUCGUGGUGUAGCGGUGAAAUGCUUAGAUAUCACGAAGAACUCCGAUUGCGAAGGCAGUUCACUGGACUGCAACUGACACUGAGGCUCGAAAGUGUGGGUAUCAAACAGGAUUAGAUACCCUUGUAGUC
RNAcentral lists this ribosomal RNA (460 nucleotides) under uncultured bacterium. RNAcentral describes it as "partial 16S ribosomal RNA". It matches the Rfam family "Bacterial small subunit ribosomal RNA", at positions 338 to 795 of the family's 1533-position model. The record is from RNAcentral.